CAGUGUGAAGGAGUUCAGGCUGGGACAUCUGUUAUCCCAUUGAUCACCCGGGUUAAGUAUCUGUCAUGGCAGACCAAGUAGGUAUCCUCUUCCUGCCUCACUCCUUCAUAGACACUCUCACUUGGCUAAAUAGAAUGACCUAUCCAAGAAAAGAGAAUCUUCUUUGGUCAACAGCAUCAGAAUUGUUAGUCUCCCUUACUGGACUUGCUAAGCCACCUGCCAUGUGCUUUGCAGUGUUGUGCUCCUUUGAUAGUACUGUCCCUUCUAUAGACCAAACUCCAGAGACAACAGAGUAUCUAU
This 300-nucleotide small nuclear RNA is filed under the name Oryctolagus cuniculus (rabbit). RNAcentral describes it as "7SK RNA". It matches the Rfam family "7SK RNA". Rfam says of the family: 7SK was discovered as an abundant small nuclear RNA in the mid-70s but a possible function has only recently been suggested. Two independent studies have found that 7SK RNA binds the CDK9/cyclin T complex (known as elongation factor P-TEFb). P-TEFb activates transcription by phosphorylating the C-terminal domain of RNA polymerase II. Lineage: Eukaryota; Metazoa; Chordata; Mammalia; Lagomorpha; Leporidae. The record is from Rfam by way of RNAcentral.